CAUUAACGCAUAUCGUCAAAUGCUCACUACGCAGUUCGCAAAAUGCUCGCCAUUUUGUAACGUACCAGAUGCUAUACUGUACUAUUUUUGUGUUUUUUUACCGUAUUUGACGUCACGAAUUUUAAUGUGAAAGGCUUUCCCCCAGUCAGCAGCGCUCGUAUAUGUUUGGAUUCGGUGAAACAAGCAGAGCAGGUAAUCAGUAAAAUUCUGUUGAUGAUGAAUCGGUAACCUAUACAAGCAAGGGAAAGGGCCGUAGUAAGAACAAGGGUAAACAGAGGGCAAAGCAGAAAAGGGCAGAGCAGUGGACAACGACAGUGAAGGGAACGAGGGAGUAUAACUUACCAAAUGUGACACAGAAAGUGUGAAGCAACAAUUUGAAAAUAGGACAAGGUUAAACGGAUGUCAACUGAUGAUGUGAGAAAACUGUCUGAAAAUAACUGAAAGAGCGCUAGGAAUUGUGUUUGACUUAUAUGAAUUUAAUAAGUACAUCACCAUCACCAUAUAGAUACCAUUUCCCACAAGAACAGACUAGUCCAAGUUGGUAUAAGUGUGGCAAUUAUAGGGAGAUGACAACAGAAAUUGAAAGGAAAUGCUGUGACAACCUUCCACGGAACUGCAGUUCACAACAACCAGUGUGUAUUCAUUGUAUUCACAUGUGAAAUUUUAUCAUUAGACACUUCAGAAAAAUAAUAAUAAAAAUUAAAUGUUUGCCAGUUUGGCUGUGAUUAGUAAAACAAAAAUUAUCUCAAGAUAGAAAUAUUCAGAAUCAAAACGAAUAAUGGGAAUAAAUCAACUAGCCACUGUAAAACCGGCAUUAACAUCUGUAUAUGGUCAAAUAUAACAUUGUUAUCCCAUAAUUAUACUAGCAUAAUUAUGAACGUUUAUCAAAUGUUUCAUACAACCCAGAUAAAUAUUCCAAGUUGUAUUUGUUAUGGUUUCAAGUCAUUGGUAUAAGAGAUAAACAUGAUAUUAACUGCACACCAAUUUUC
Long non-coding RNA from Gigantopelta aegis, 989 nucleotides. RefSeq lists it as uncharacterized. The record is from RefSeq and is a predicted model, not a curated record. The transcript has 3 exons. Lineage: Eukaryota; Metazoa; Mollusca; Gastropoda; Neomphalida; Peltospiridae.